Long non-coding RNA from Acyrthosiphon pisum (pea aphid), 1339 nucleotides. RefSeq lists it as uncharacterized. NCBI's taxonomy places the organism in Eukaryota, Metazoa, Arthropoda, Insecta, Hemiptera, Aphididae. The transcript is spliced from 4 exons. The record is from RefSeq and is a predicted model, not a curated record.
AGUAGGUAAUAAUAUUAUUAUAACACGAACGACAGAUCGCCACUGCAGCUGCACCCGACCGACGAAGACCGCGGCUUGUACACUUAUCGCUGGCAGUCGUUGCGCGUGUAUAUGCGUACGACAGUAUAUUACGUACGUACGAGUGUGUAAGUGUGAGUUGUGCUAUACCGUCAUGGCACGGCGAAGAGAAGAGUCGGGGCGGUAAUGAAUAAUAUUAUGUUAUAAUAUACGGUGCGAUCGCGGUGACGGUAUAUUGUUGAAUCACGCACAGUGCGCUUCCCGCGAAUCACGUCCUGCUGGUCGCUCGGGACUUUCGUCGAUUUUUAGGAUACGUAGCGGUACAUCUGCACAAGUCGGAGUCGGGGUUAACCGCUAAGACGACUUGCAGUCAGUCGUGUGUAAUUUUACUGUUGUAUAGUCGCUGGCGAAAAUUCGCAGAGAAACCGAAGGCCGCCGAGCGACCGUUUCUGUGGUGACAUCGAGUCCAGUCAACAAUAAUAAUUAUUGACGAUAAUAAUGACCAAGAGCACGCGUCCAUGUCGUCAAGUUAAUAAUAUAAUAUGUUAUAUAUUAUGUACCUACUAUAGCUUUGAAUUGAUAUGAUCAACAAACCAAAUAUUUGACACUUAAAGUUUGAAGUUAAUAUUUAAUAUUAUAAUAUGUUAAAAUAUUUUAAAAUUUUAAAUACAUAAUGCUAAAUAUUUUGAACAAUAAUUGUACGUUAUAGAUUUAUAUAGCAUAAUAUUGCUAUUCCACACUAAUCAUAAAAUGCACCUUAUUUUCCGCUUUUUAUAUUCAACUCGAGUUAUGAUUAAUUAUUAUGAAUCAUAUAUUCAUAUUCUUAUGAAUAUAUUUAAAUUAAAUUUAAAUGAAUUUUACGUGUUUAAUCAGGCGUGGACUAGCUGGGAAUUAAGAUUAGCAGCAUCGCUUGCUCUUAAUAUAUUUGUCUAAUAUAUAUUAUUAUAUAUUUAAAGACUCUAGACACCUAAUGAACAGUAGAUCGUUACCAAAUUACGAUUAUUAGUAAUCUAAUAUUGUACAAUUUUGAUUAGAAGUUUGUUGUAACUUGGUACUUAUUUAAGUUUUUAACGUAUAUUCAAUAUUUAAUAUUUUUUUAAAACAAAAUUAUAUAUAUUAAUAUUUUAUAAAUAAUCAUUUAAAUCUUUUAAAUUUGCCCCAACAUUUUUUGUUAUUUGCCCUUUAAAUUGUGUAGCAUGCCGCGCCUGUGGUCAAUUAUUUUUGAGCCCGACACGGAGGUAUUAUAACUAAAAUUUGAUGUACACCUAUAAAAAAUAAACAGACUUUUUUUAAAAGAACAUAAGACUAUAUUUGUAACAAC